Non-coding RNA from Acanthosepion pharaonis, 112 nucleotides. Lineage: Eukaryota; Metazoa; Mollusca; Cephalopoda; Sepiida; Sepiidae. The record is from the annotation of a GenBank genome assembly.
AUGGCCAUAUCAUGUUGAAUCACUAGUUCCUAUACAAUCACCGAAGUUAAGCAACGUCGAGUUUGGUCAGUACCUAGAUGGGUGACUACUUGGGAAUACCAAGUGCCGUAAG